AUACCCUAUCAGUCUCUCCCAAAGGAUAGUUAUUUCUGUGGUUAGCAUCGAAAACAGUGACUUAAUGUUUUUGAGGGAGAGAGGGGAAUGAAGUCUGGGUACAGCUUGAUAUCCAUCUCUUUAUUAAUAAUAGCCGGUUGAGAAACAGUCAUUACUGAAAAAUUGUCUGGAGCCCCCAGUGACAGAGGGGUUUGGUUUUAAACCUUUAUAUUGCUAAUUGGGACUCCUCCGUCAAAGUGGAUGUUGGCCAUGUUUGUAGCUGUCUGAUUUCAAUGAGAGUAAUUUUUUAAUGUGUAUUUAAGGAUCCACUUUUGGGGAAUUCACUUUAGAGCAUGCACGCACGCGUGUCUUUUCAGUGGUCACACUGAAACGCCACGCUCACGCACGCGCACACACGCAGCUGCGUUUAGUUUAAUGAUUAUACAUUCGUAUGCGUGCGUGUAGUGUGUUUAUUUCAAAGUGUAUGCAUUUCAAUAAAAGCAGGUGCAGCGUGAGAGUGUAUGGUGUGCGUUUGGAGGACGAAAAUACACAUGCUAAUGCAUAUGUAUAGAGCAGGAGCUCUGCAGAGUUAAACCACGCACACAUUUGUGUGCGCUUAUUACAAUGUGCAAGCUCCAGGUUUAAAAAAAAAUGAUGUAAAAUAUGUACAUACAAAUGCAGAGUUCUAUGAUGUGAUCAGAUAAAGACACUGGCCCCCUAUAAACAGUACAUGAAAA
RNAcentral lists this long non-coding RNA (716 nucleotides) under Bos taurus (domestic cattle). RNAcentral describes it as "long non-coding RNA NONBTAT001647". The record is from RNAcentral. Lineage: Eukaryota; Metazoa; Chordata; Mammalia; Artiodactyla; Bovidae.